This 497-nucleotide ribosomal RNA is filed under the name uncultured bacterium. Its description in RNAcentral is "partial 16S ribosomal RNA". It matches the Rfam family "Bacterial small subunit ribosomal RNA", at positions 28 to 507 of the family's 1533-position model. The record is from RNAcentral.
GAUGAACGCUGGCGGCGUGCCUAAUACAUGCAAGUCGAGCGAACGGACGAGAAGCUUGCUUUUCUGAUGUUAGCGGCGGACGGGUGAGUAACACGUGGAUAACCUACCUAUAAGACUGGGAUAACUUCGGGGAACCGGAGCUAAUACCGGAUAAUAUUUUGAACCGCAUGGUUCAAAAGUGAAAGACGGUCUUGCUGUCACUUAUAGAUGGAUCCGCGCUGCAUUAGCUAGUUGGUAAGGUAACGGCUUACCAAGGCAACGAUGCAUAGCCGACCUGAGAGGGUGAUCGGCCACACUGGAACUGAGACACGGUCCAGACUCCUACGGGAGGCAGCAGUAGGGAAUCUUCCGCAAUGGGCGAAAGCCUGACGGAGCAACGCCGCGUGAGUGAUGAAGGUCUUCGGAUCGUAAAACUCUGUUAUUAGGGAAGAACAUAUGUGUAAGUAACUGUGCACAUCUUGACGGUACCUAAUCAGAAAGCCACGGCUAACUACGUG